This is a non-coding RNA of Otolemur garnettii (small-eared galago), 102 nucleotides long. The record is from Rfam. Lineage: Eukaryota; Metazoa; Chordata; Mammalia; Primates; Galagidae.
UACUGGCUUCAGCAGCACAUUAAAUUUGGAGCAAUACAGAGAGGAUUAGCAUGGUCCUGGUGCAAGGAUGACACUCGAAUUCAUGAAGCAUGCCACAGUUUU